CAAUCUCAUGGUUCUAAAGCAAUAAUCUGCAUUUCCCAGACCACUAGAGAACUCACCUUUUCAUGGGUUGGCUAUUUGGAUCUUCUCCUCAAAUUCUUGCUUAUUUCUCUGUUGUGCUGUUUGUAUCCAUGCCAGUAUGUGACAACAUUUGCCUAUUGCAGAUAUUAACCCUAUGCCUAGAUUGAACAAUUUUUUCCCCUCAAUCUAGGAUUUGUCCAUUGAUUUGGUUUAGGUUAUCUCUUGCCUUACAAAAUGUUGUUACAGUCAUGAAAAUGUUCCGGCCUUUAUUCCACUCCUUUCUCAUUUCUCUCCCUUUCUUCCUCAUCUUCUUCUGGCUGCGUGUGUGUGAGUGUGUGCGUGUGCUUGUGCCUGUUUUCCUUCCCCCAUUUCUGCCCUUCUUUGUCUUUCUUGUUUCCUUUUUCUUUUUUUUCUUUUUGCUUUUUAGGGCUGCACCUGCGGUAUAUGGAGGUUCCCAGGUUAGGGGUCCAAUCAGAGCUGUAGCUGCUGGCCUACACCACAGCCGCAGCAACGUAGUAUCGAGCCGCAUCUGCAACCUGCACCACAGCUCACGGCAAUGCUGGAUCCUUAACCCGCUGAGCGAGGUCAGGGAUCAAACCCACAACCUCAAGGUUACUAGUCGGAUUCAUUUCCAUUGCGCUGCAACGGGAACUCCGAGAAUGCUAAUUUUCAGUGCAGAGGGCACUGUAUUUUCUUGCUUGUAUUUCCUUACAAAGCCAAGGCACACCCAUGAGGUGAUGGGGAAGCAAAAUAAGUGGCUAAAACAAUGCAUUUUUAAAAUUAGCUGAAUUUGAUAUCCCUUGAGGUUUGUUUGUUUUCUGUAUGGAUUUUCCAGUUCACCCUCAGAUUCUGCUUCCAUAGGUCUGGAGUGGUUGUAAGGUACAAAUGGAUAUCUAUUUUACUAUCUCUCCAGGGGACCCCAGUAACCAUCAGGGCUGGAAAUCUGCCUUAGCACUGGAUCAGGGAGGCUAAACAAAUGCUCUCCAGUCUGGGCAGCUUGCUUGGGAGAUUGGAAAAGUUAGGCUGUUGAAGUUUCAGAUGAUUAUCUUCAGCAACCAGCCAACUCAGCAUAAGACAGCAUGAGGGGCUCACAAGAAGUAGAGAAAGGGGUAAAGUAAUUCUACAGGCCUGAUACUCCUCAGAGAGGAGAGGUGAUGUGUAACUCAAGUGCAGCUGCAGUGCAGCUAAUGGGCACAGGGGGGCAGUGUAGCCCCAUGUGGCUCAGAAGCUGGCUCGAAUUGAGGCCUGACCCUGCUGGGAGCAAGGCUCCAGGAGAGCUCUGGCAGGGGUGAAGGGCUGUUCCACCCUCCUCCUCCCCUGCCCGCCUUAGUCCCUGUCCUGCAGAACCUGGCUCUCAGAUGAUUAAAGUUCAUACAACAUUUAUUGAGCAUGAAUUGUCUCAUGUCAAACACUAUCCUGGAUUGUUUUAUUUAAUCUUCAUAGCAAUCCACGACAGGCAUGCUAUUUCCUUUCUCCCGAUGUGGAAGCUGCAGCUUAGGGAAGUUAAUUAAUUUCCUAGUAGGUAGCAGAGCCAGGAUUUAAACACAAGCCUGUCUGACUCCAAGCCACAUGUUCUUUUCAUUCAGCAACUGCUGCUUUAUCCAGGUACCAUUUAAUUAAUUCUGAAUGUAUUUAUAAAUGCUACUUUACCAAUUUAUUCUGCAUGCCGAUUAUUUCUUUUUUGUUUUUCUUUCUUAAACAAAGGGAUCAGUAAGAAUAAUCGAGUUAGCUAAGAAACUUAUACCCACAGUCUGCAUUUUAACAGGAGGCUGAAGAAACAAAGGAUGAGUGGCCAUCGGUGGAAAAUCACCUUGGGAUUGCCUCCGCCACACAGCUAGGCCUGGAUGUCACACUCAUCUAAGGCAGGAUUUUACUUGGCUGACAUGGUGUUACUUAAAAAUCUAAAUCUCAAUUCAUCACAGUUGCUACCAUUCGCUUUUCUUUCCAUCGUCAUGUUUUACUCACCCAUGCUACCUGCCUGGUAUCUGCUGAUGGCAGCACCAGGCUGAUGGGUCCUGGCAAUACCACUGCCUUGGGGCCUUGAACCUCACCUUCCACCUUUUCCUUCCCUUGCUGACUUCCCUCCAGGUGUUGUCACUGUCAAGACACUGGAUGUUGUCUGUAGCCAGAGGCUCUUGCACCUGCAUCCCUAGGUCCAUUCUGCUGCUUCUAGUACCCAUUCCAGCCCCCGGGCUUGCCAGAGCCAAAUUUAGCUGCAGCUGCUUGGUCAGAUGCUUGGGUAUUUUCAGCUGUAGAGGCAUAAGGUGGCUGGCACUUACUGAGGGCGGUUGGCCAGGGUUCACACCCAAUGUUUUGGAUUGAAAUUAGCAUCCAUGUUGUUCGAGGUGCUUGGUCCCUCCCACAUUUUUUUUUUAUUAAAUUGAAAGUGGGGAGAAAGGAGAAGGCAAGAAGUGGCAGAGAGUAAGACAGCACAAGGUUAAGACCCUGGGGACUUUCUGGACUUGCCAUCAUUUCUCCCUUCUCCUUAAUGUCACCCUCAGGGCGAGUGAGUGCUGCAAGAUCAUGAGCUGGAGACCACUGAGGGUGACCCUCAUGCCAGGGCCACCCCUGGCUGGCAGCUGAGAGGAGAGUAUAUUCGGUCUCACACAGCAAGGGCUCCCUCCUGGCCUGCUUGCCCCUGAAUCAGUGUCCAUGGAGCUGCCAGCCUUGCUCUGAGCUCUGGUGCUCAUGUGUCCGGUGUCCUUUCUUGACCUGGGUCUUCAUGGACGGGGCUGUGUUCCCUAAAGCUUUGGCCCAUAGCUCCAUGAAAGUUCCCAGCCAGUGAGUGUGUGGGGUUGGUAGGCCCCCUGGCUAAGAGGGCAAGUGUAAUGUGCAUGAUGGCAGCUUCUCAGUGGUGGUUACAAAUAGAAGAGGAACAUGGGACCAGAGAUGGAGCAGUGGCACCGUAGGGGUGUAGAGGGGAGGAGAUGCACAGAGAGGGAGGAUGCAGCUCCAGGAACUGGGGCCUGGGUGGAGGAGGGGCCUGCCUGAGCAGGGGAACCAUCCCUGGCUGUUCUCAACUACUGUCCUUGGCCAUGAGAUAUUGUCAAACCUCCUAUGAAUCCAAGUGAAAUGGAGAGGGUCUUCCCUCUUUUCCUAACUCCUUCAUGUCCAAGGGAGGAGAAAUUCUCCUGUUUGUUGUGUCCAGUGUGCCUGAACUCAGGGUGCUUAGUAGAUGUCCACUGGCUGGCACCUCCAGCCCACAGCUCUCACAUUGGAAGGGGCUUAUGGUCUUCUCUUUGGAUAUGCUUUGUUCCAGAAGGCAAGUUGCUGCUCUGAGGUUGUUAGUUUUAGGUCUGGGUUCCUGACCUCUCCUCUGGUGUCCUCGGCAUCUUUCUCUUUGUCAUGCCAGUACUGACUAGAUCCAGCAGCCAGGACUCAGCCCCAGGUACAUUUUAAACACUUUGCAUGUAUUAACUCAUUUAGAUCUUGCACCAGACCAACCUAUGAGGCGGGCACUACUGUUGUCCCUGUUUUACAGAUAAGGCCACAGAGACUCAGAGAAUUUAAGUGACUUUCCCAAGGUCACGCCGGAUUUGGAGCUGGGUGUUCUGGCUCUAGAACUCAUAACCAUGGAGUGUACUGCCUCUCAAGGUGCUUCAUUGGGUCUGCCUGUUUCUUGUCCAGCUGCUAUUACCAAACUGUGAACAACUUGAGAGGGAUCGAUUAUGUUUUAUUCCUCUUUGGUCGCAAGAUCUAUCCCUGAGCCCAAUAUAUUGGAAGCUGAAGCAAAUGUUUGU
RNAcentral lists this long non-coding RNA (3758 nucleotides) under Sus scrofa (pig). Its description in RNAcentral is "lncRNA (ENSSSCG00000063141.1)". Lineage: Eukaryota; Metazoa; Chordata; Mammalia; Artiodactyla; Suidae. The record is from RNAcentral.